CUCGGAUCAGGUAGGGAUACCCGCUGAACUUAAGCAUAUCAAUAA
Molecule: ribosomal RNA, 45 nt
Filed under: Coccomyces dentatus
Lineage: Eukaryota; Fungi; Ascomycota; Leotiomycetes; Rhytismatales; Rhytismataceae
Also listed under: 1 other name
Description: partial 28S ribosomal RNA
Source: RNAcentral